AGCGAACGCUGGCGGCGUGCUUAACACAUGCAAGUCGAGUGCGUAGCCCUUUGUAGCAAUACAGAGGGUGGGCGCACGGCGCACGGGUGAGUAACACGUGGGUAACCUGCCCUUCGGUGGGAUAACCCGCGAAGCGGGCUAAUUCCGCAUAACAUUCCGGGGACGACAUGUUCUCGGACUCAAAGGAGUGAUUCGCCGGAGGAGGGGCCCGCGCCCGAUUAGCUUGUUGGUAGGGUAACGGCCUACCAAAGGCUUUGAUCGGUAGCCGGUCUGAGAGGAUGGCCGGCCACACUGGAACUGAGACACGGUCCAGACUCCUACGGGAGGCAGCAGUGGGGAAUCUUGCGC
Molecule: ribosomal RNA, 348 nt
Filed under: uncultured bacterium
Lineage: Bacteria
Description: bacterial SSU rRNA
Rfam family: Bacterial small subunit ribosomal RNA
Source: RNAcentral